This 478-nucleotide ribosomal RNA is filed under the name uncultured bacterium. RNAcentral describes it as "partial 16S ribosomal RNA". It matches the Rfam family "Bacterial small subunit ribosomal RNA", at positions 28 to 507 of the family's 1533-position model. The record is from RNAcentral.
GAUGAACGCUGGCGGCGUGCUUAACACAUGCAAGUCGAACGAGAAGUGAAGACGGAAACCUUCGGGCGGAAGGCUUUAUUUCGAGUGGCGGACGGGGGAGUAACGCGUGGGUAACCUGCCUCAUACAGGGGGAUAACAGUUGGAAACGACUGUUAAUACUGCAUAAGACCACAGCACCGCAUGGUGCGGGGGUAAAAACUCCGGUGGUAUGAGAUGGACCCGCGUUCGAUUAGCCAGUUGGCGGGGUAACGGCCCACCAAAGCGACGAUCGAUAGCCGAUCUGAGAGGAUGACCGGACACAUUGGGACUGAGACACGGCCCAAACUCCUACGGGAGGCAGCAGUGGGGAAUAUUGCACAAUGGGGGAAACCCUGAUGCAGCGCCGCCGCGUGAGUGAAGAAGUAUUUCGGUAUGUAAAGCUCUAUCAGCAGGGAAGAAAAUGACGGUACCUGAGUAAGAAGCCCCGGCUAACUACGUG